AUGAACGCUGGCGGCGUGCCUCAUACAUGCAAGUCGAGCGAACAGACGAGGAGCUUGCUCCUCUGACGUUAGCGGCGGACGGGUGAGUAACCCGUGGAUAACCUACCUAUAAGACUGGGAUAACUUCGGGAAACCGGAGCUAAUACCGGAUAAUAUAUUGAACCGCAUGGUUCAAUAGUGAAAGACGGUUUUGCUGUCACUUAUAGAUGGAUCCGCGCCGCAUUAGCUAGUUGGUAAGGUAACGGCUUACCAAGGCAACGAUGCGUAGCCGACCUGAGAGGGUGAUCGGCCACGCCGGAACUGAGACACGGUCCAGACUCCUACGGGAGGCAGCAGUAGGGAAUCUUCCGCAAUGGGCGAAAGCUUGACGGAGCAACGCCGCGUGAGUGAUGAAGGUCUUCGGAUCGUAAAACUCUGUUAUUAGGGAAGAACAAAUGUGUAAGUAACUAUGCACGUCUUGACGGUACCUAAUCAGAAAGCCACGGCUAACUACGUG
Molecule: ribosomal RNA, 496 nt
Filed under: uncultured bacterium
Lineage: Bacteria
Description: partial 16S ribosomal RNA
Rfam family: Bacterial small subunit ribosomal RNA
Source: RNAcentral